AGCGAACGCUGGCGGCAUGCCUAACACAUGCAAGUCGAACGAAGCCUUCGGGCUUAGUGGCGCACGGGUGCGUAACGCGUGGGAAUCUGCCCCUUGCUUCGGAAUAACAGUUAGAAAUGACUGCUAAUACCGGAUGAAGUCUUCGGACCAAAGAUUUAUCGGCAAGGGAUGAGCCCGCGUAGGAUUAGGUAGUUGGUGGGGUAAAGGCCUACCAAGCCGACGAUCCUUAGCUGGUCUGAGAGGAUGAUCAGCCACACUGGGACUGAGACACGGCCCAGACUCCUACGGGAGGCAGCAGUGGGGAAUAUUGGACAAUGGACGCAAGUCUGAUCCAGCAAUGCCGCGUGAGUGAUGAAGGCCUUAGGGUUGUAAAGCUCUUUUACCAGGGAUGAUAAUGACAGUACCUGGAGAAUAAGCUCCGGCUAACUCCGUG
RNAcentral lists this ribosomal RNA (433 nucleotides) under uncultured bacterium. Its description in RNAcentral is "partial 16S ribosomal RNA". It matches the Rfam family "Bacterial small subunit ribosomal RNA", at positions 29 to 507 of the family's 1533-position model. The record is from RNAcentral.